RNAcentral lists this long non-coding RNA (214 nucleotides) under Lathyrus oleraceus (garden pea). Its description in RNAcentral is "Pisum sativum (pea) long non-coding RNA (PSAT_LNC007662)". Lineage: Eukaryota; Viridiplantae; Streptophyta; Magnoliopsida; Fabales; Fabaceae. The record is from RNAcentral.
UUUAUUUAGUUUUUGUGUAGAAUAUACAUGAUUGUUAUGUUCUUAUUGUUAUUGCAUAUAGUUAUCACAUGAUAAGGACUUAUUUGACUCACAACAAUAAUAGUCAAAGACUUAUUUGGUCCAUAUUAAAUAGUGCCACAUACUUAUUUGGCUCAUUUUUUGUUUUGUUCUUUACUUGCAUGGUUGUUUUUUUAUGUCUUGUACUUGCUAAAAG